Molecule: ribosomal RNA, 467 nt
Filed under: uncultured bacterium
Lineage: Bacteria
Description: partial 16S ribosomal RNA
Rfam family: Bacterial small subunit ribosomal RNA
Source: RNAcentral
GAUGAACGCUGGCGGCGCGCCUAACACAUGCAAGUCGAACGAUUAAAGCACCUUCGGGUGUGUAUAAAGUGGCGAACGGCUGAGUAACACGUGGGCAACCUGCCCCUUUCAUUGGGAUAGCCACGGGAAACCGUGGAUAAUACCGAAUACUUCGAGACUUCCGCAUGGAAGACUCGAGAAAGCUCCGGCGGAGAGGGAUGGGCCCGCGGCCUGUUAGCUUGUUGGUGGGGUAACGGCCUACCAAGGCAAUGAUGGGUAGCUGGGUUGAGAGACCGACCAGCCAGAUUGGGACUGAGACACGGCCCAGACUCCUACGGGAGGCAGCAGUGGGGAAUCUUGCACAAUGGGCGAAAGCCGGAUGCAGCGACGCCGCGUGCGGGAUGAAGGCCUUCGGGUUGUAAACCGCUUUCAGCAGGGACGAGGCGAAAGUGACGGUACCUGCAGAAGAAGCCCCGGCUAACUACGUG